UACAGAGUUUACCUAAAAUCCUAAUAAAUCAGCCAAAAUAUUCAUAAACCCAAAAAGUAAUGAACAAAAUAUGAACUGUAGUGAAAUAUUCAUAGAGAAACUUCAGGUAUGACACACCAAUCAAAACACAUUUCACUAAAGCCCCAAGCCAAUACAGACACUUUUUUUUAAUGCAGUGCAGCAUUUCAGUAUGGUUUAGAUGAGUUAGUGCACCGAAGCUCUGCCUCCUUUCUAGAUGGCCAACUUCCUUUUAACCCUGGGAAUGAAUUGUCAGGCCAAACAGUCCAGGGUACUCUGUUCCCGUUACUUAGCGCCCUCACAGGUCGGGAGGGAGAUUUACCACCAAAGAUCAUUUUAUUUCUGUCACAGGCCACCACUGCACCCUUACCUGACUCAUGUUCUGACAAGGCUUUCCACCACACACUGCUUAACUGGUACAGUAGGUGGGUUCACUUCAGACAACAUGUGUAGUCACCAUUGGGCUCAGUGAUUCAUUGGAUUUGAACAGUGGCAUCACUUAAAAUACCAAACAUGCGCUGACAAAAGCUACUGAUGCAGACAAAAUUAAACAUGCACAGGUGUCAACAAGCACAUUUUAUGGAAGGAAAAAAGAUUCAAACCUGUCCUACCACAGCCACUUAAUUUCCAUGACACCACCUUAUCAAGAGCAGACUGGAGUCCAAUUCAAUAUUUCAGACAGUACAUUGAUAGUAAAGUGUUUGAGGGCAUUGCAAGUUACUCAAACCAACGUGAAAUUCAAGUUUCAGGAAGAUUUUUGAAUACAUCACAAGAAGAAAUGAAGACCUUCUUAGGCAUUGCAGUGUACAUGGCAUGCCUUGGAUACCCGCGGAUCAAAAUUUACUACGCCAAAGAUACAAGAGUACCAAUAAUAUAAAAUGCAAUGUCCAGAGAUGGGUACUUCAAGCUAAGGAAGUCACUGAAAGUUACCAAUUACCUUGAUGUGCAAGAGGAAGCAAAGUCAGACCUGUUAUGGAAAGUCAGUUAAAUUAGAAUAGUCAAAAUAUGAUGUUACUUCUCAUUGUGACUAAUUGUUAAGCUAGUCGCAUUUGUUCUACAGUGCGAGUCCCAAUGUCCACUACAGUGCACAUGUAAUUAAAGUACAAUAAAAAUAAUUAAUUGA
Molecule: long non-coding RNA, 1141 nt
Organism: Acipenser ruthenus (sterlet)
Lineage: Eukaryota; Metazoa; Chordata; Actinopteri; Acipenseriformes; Acipenseridae
Exons: 4
Source: RefSeq, a predicted model, not a curated record